Molecule: ribosomal RNA, 556 nt
Filed under: Tatraea macrospora
Lineage: Eukaryota; Fungi; Ascomycota; Leotiomycetes; Helotiales; Helotiaceae
Description: eukaryotic LSU rRNA
Rfam family: 5.8S ribosomal RNA (bases 203-356)
Source: RNAcentral
UAACAAGGUUUCCGUAGGUGAACCUGCGGAAGGAUCAUUACAGUGUUCCCUGCCCUCACGGGUAGAAACGCCCACCCUUGUGUCUAUGUUAUAUUGUUGCUUUGGCAGGCCGCCUUCGGGCACUGGCUCCGGCUGGAUCGUGCCUGCCAGAGGAUCUCAAACCCUGAAUGUUAGUGUCGUCUGAGUACUAUCUAAUAGUUAAAACUUUCAACAACGGAUCUCUUGGUUCUGGCAUCGAUGAAGAACGCAGCGAAAUGCGAUAAGUAAUGUGAAUUGCAGAAUUCAGUGAAUCAUCGAAUCUUUGAACGCACAUUGCGCCCCUUGGUAUUCCGGGGGGCAUGCCUGUUCGAGCGUCAUUUAAACCAAUCCAGCUUGCUGGGUCUUGGGCCGUUCGCCUCUGGGCGGGCCUUAAAAUCAGUGGCGGUGCCACCCGGCUCUACGCGUAGUAAUUCUUCUCGCGAUAGGGUCCUGGGUGGAGGCUUGCCAACAACCCCCAAUUUUCAAAGGUUGACCUCGGAUCAGGUAGGGAUACCCGCUGAACUUAAGCAUACANNGG